RNAcentral lists this ribosomal RNA (253 nucleotides) under uncultured bacterium. Its description in RNAcentral is "partial 16S ribosomal RNA". It matches the Rfam family "Bacterial small subunit ribosomal RNA", at positions 524 to 776 of the family's 1533-position model. The record is from RNAcentral.
UACGUAGGGUGCGAGCGUUGUCCGGAAUUAUUGGGCGUAAAGGGCUCGUAGGCGGUUUGUCGCGUCGGGAGUGAAAACACCGGGCUUAACUCGGUGCUUGCUUUCGAUACGGGCAGACUAGAGGCAUGCAGGGGAGAACGGAGUUCCUGGUGUAGCGGUGAAAUGCGCAGAUAUCAGGAGGAACACCGGUGGCGAAGGCGGUUCUCUGGGCAUGUCCUGACGCUGAGGAGCGAAAGUGUGGGGAGCGAACAGG